GAUGAACGCUGGCGGCGUGCCUAAUACAUGCAAGUCGAGCGAACAGACGAGGAGCUUGCUCCUCUGACGUUAGCGGCGGACGGGUGAGUAACACGUGGAUAACCUACCUAUAAGACUGGGAUAACUUCGGGAAACCGGAGCUAAUACCGGAUAAUAUAUUGAACCGCAUGGUUCAAUAGUGAAAGACGGUUUUGCUGUCACUUAUAGAUGGAUCCGCGCCGCAUUAGCUAGUUGGUAAGGUAACGGCUUACCAAGGCGACGAUGCGUAGCCGACCUGAGAGGGUGAUCGGCCACACUGGAACUGAGACACGGUCCAGACUCCUACGGGAGGCAGCAGUAGGGAAUCUUCCGCAAUGGGCGAAAGCCUGACGGAGCAACGCCGCGUGAGUGAUGAAGGUCUUCGGAUCGUAAAACUCUGUUAUUGGGGAAGAACAAAUGUGUAAGUAACUAUGCACGUUUUGACGGUACCUAAUCAGAAAGCCACGGCUAACUACGUG
Molecule: ribosomal RNA, 497 nt
Filed under: uncultured bacterium
Lineage: Bacteria
Description: partial 16S ribosomal RNA
Rfam family: Bacterial small subunit ribosomal RNA
Source: RNAcentral